GCUGGAGUGCACUGGCACAAUUGCAGCUCACCGCAACCUUCGCCUCCCGAUUCAAGUGAUUCUCCUGCCUCCUGAGUAGCUGGGAUUACAGGCAUGCGCCACCACACCCGGCUAAUUUUGUAUUUCUGGUUUAGACAAGGUUUCUCCUUGUUGGUCAGGCUGGUCUUGAACUCCCGACCUCAGGUGAUCCGCCCUCCUCGGCUUCCCAAAGUGCUGGGAUUACAGGUGUGAGCCACUGCUCCGGUGAUCUGUUUUUAAGUGGAGUAUCCUGGGGGCCUAUAGUAUCCAACUCCAAAGAGAUUUUCUACAAUGAAUUUGUCUUUUAUAAUAAAAAGUUAAUUUAAAAGGACAAGCAAUUCAGGCUGGGCGCAGUGGCACACACCUGUAAUCCCAGAACUUUGGGAGGCUGAGGUGGGUGGAUCACCUGUGGUGAAGAGUUCAAGACCAGCCUGGCCAACAUGGUGAAACCCCGUCUCUACUAAAAAUACAAAAAAUUGCCGGACAUGGUGGUGGACACCUGUAAUCCCAACUACUCGGGAGGCUGAGGCAGGAGAAUCACUUGAACCCAGGAGGCGGAGAUUGCAGUGAGCUGAGAUCACACCACUGCACUCCAGCCUGGGCGACACGGCGAGACUCUAUGUCAAAAGAAAAGAAAAGGACAAGCAAUUCUUCAAUCUUGGGAUAAAUGAAGACAUUGAUUGGAGUGUCAUAAAACUAAGAUGUGAGAAUUUUUGAAUUAGAAUUUUAAUUUUAAUACCUACUUUCAAGAGGAGGUAAGAACCAAAAGUUUUAAAGGGAAAAGACUGAAGAUGAGCAUGUUUCUUUGAAUUAUAAAACUUGGGUUUAGUACCACUAGACUCUAAAUUUCCAACCCUAGUAAUAUGGCAUAUGCUGUUGGAACUCAACGUGGUCGUUUGCUUAACUUUUUGUUGAUAUAAUCUGAAAUGAUAUUAAAUCUCACUGUGGAGCAUCAUAAAAACAACCUAUUUGUCAGAGAAGAGUAGGACAAUUGUCCUAUUAAAUUGGAAAACUGAAAAAGAAAAUUUAAAAACAGACUUCCAUUAUUGCAUUCAUAUGACAAAUACUUUUUGAGUGUCUGUGUCACUGGGCACUGUACUACCUCGUAACUACCUCGGCAGUCGGGGUAGGGAAUCCUCCUUGGGGAAGUACCCUUUGUAAGGCCAGGCACAGAGAAAAAGGAGGGUAAAGAGUGUGCUAGGUAAUAGGUAGAGGACAUGUACAAAUAGAUGGCUACUGAUUUUCAGUUGAUAACUAUGUCUAAUUAGGUGAAUACCAUCUUAUUCUAGCAAGAGUAUCAGAGUGCGUUCAUUCCUGAGGACCCUUUCCCUGGUGUUGAAACAAAUUAUCUCUAGCCUUCAGUAUGAAAUAAAUUCCCUUUUGCUACAUUUCUGCCAAAUCUGAAGAAUCACAAUGGAUGAGUCUCAUGCCUAUUUCAAAAUGGUAUAGAGUCUCUGGGGGUUCAGUAUAUUUAACUUGUUUCCUCAUAAGUGUGACUUCAAGAUAUUGUUUCAUGCUGGAAUUGUAAAUUGUGAUUUAUCCAUUCUCUGUAGAAAUAUUAAAUAAAUCUGAAAAAAACUCCAAAACCCA
This is a long non-coding RNA of Pan troglodytes (chimpanzee), 1608 nucleotides long. RefSeq lists it as uncharacterized. The record is from RefSeq and is a predicted model, not a curated record. The transcript is spliced from 2 exons. Lineage: Eukaryota; Metazoa; Chordata; Mammalia; Primates; Hominidae.